Molecule: non-coding RNA, 370 nt
Organism: Paramuricea clavata
Lineage: Eukaryota; Metazoa; Cnidaria; Anthozoa; Malacalcyonacea; Plexauridae
Source: the annotation of a GenBank genome assembly
AUUGGCUGUUCAAAAUUAGAAUUGUAAACAUGCAAAACUAUGUAGGUGCGGUCGUAGACGUUUGUGGCAGUGGCCGAUAUACGCAUUUUUGAUGCGAUUCCACAGUUCGGUGACUUUCGUAAUAAUUCAGUAUGAUCAAAAUCAAACGAUUUUAUGUCGUUCACGAGCCGAACGAAAAUUUUCUGAAAAUAUGGAGUCCCUAUAACGUCGGCAAUGGCCUUUACAGAGUCUUUACUACUGCCAAAAAGGCACUUUCUUUCUAGCCCCCGAAAAGGGCAUUUUUUCACUUUUAAAGAGUGGGGAGGCACAUGCCCCCAUUGCCCCCCGGUUCCGCGGCCCCUGAUUAAUGUUAAAUCAGGCAAUAUACGUC